This 465-nucleotide ribosomal RNA is filed under the name uncultured bacterium. RNAcentral's name for it is "partial 16S ribosomal RNA". It matches the Rfam family "Bacterial small subunit ribosomal RNA", at positions 338 to 795 of the family's 1533-position model. The record is from RNAcentral.
CCUACGGGUGGCAGCAGUGGGGAAUAUUGCGCAAUGGGCGAAAGCCUGACGCCGCGACGCCGCGUGAGGGAUGAAGGUCUUCGGAUCGUAAACCUCUGUCAGCAGGGAAGAACGGUCACUGUGCUAAUCAGCAGUGAAUUGACGGUACCUGCAAAGGAAGCACCGGCUAACUCCGUGCCAGCAGCCGCGGUAAUACGGAGGGUGCGAGCGUUAAUCGGAAUUACUGGGCGGAAAGCGCUCGUAGGCGGUAUGUCAAGUCAAGGGUGAAAGCCCCGCGCUCAACGUGUGAACUGCCUUUGAAACUGGCAAACUGGAGUGUGUGAGAGGAUAGUGGAAUGCCAGGUGUAGGAGUGAAAUCCGUAGAUAUCUGGAGGAACAUCAGUGGCGAAGGCGACUAUCUGGCACAUAACUGACGCUGAGGAGCGAAAGCGUGGGUAGCAAACAGGAUUAGAUACCCGGGUAGUC